Molecule: non-coding RNA, 148 nt
Organism: Pan troglodytes (chimpanzee)
Lineage: Eukaryota; Metazoa; Chordata; Mammalia; Primates; Hominidae
Rfam family: Metazoan signal recognition particle RNA
About the family: The signal recognition particle (SRP) is a universally conserved ribonucleoprotein. It is involved in the co-translational targeting of proteins to membranes.
Source: Rfam
GCCAGGUGUGGUAGUGGGCGCCUGUAAUCCCAGCUACUCGGGAGGCUGAGGCAGGAGAAUCGCUUGAACCCAGGAGGCUGAGGUUGCAGUGAGCCAGGAUGGCACCACUGCACUCCAGCCUGGGCAAUAGAGCAAGACUCUGUCUCCA